RNAcentral lists this transfer RNA (73 nucleotides) under Bacteroidales bacterium. Its description in RNAcentral is "tRNA-Ala". It matches the Rfam family "tRNA". From Rfam's summary of the family: Transfer RNA (tRNA) molecules are approximately 80 nucleotides in length. The record is from RNAcentral. Lineage: Bacteria; Pseudomonadati; Bacteroidota; Bacteroidia; Bacteroidales.
GGGGGAUUAGUUCAUCUGGUAGAACAUUUGGUUCGCAAUCAAAAGGUAACGGGUUCGAGUCCCGUAUCCUCCA